RNAcentral lists this non-coding RNA (23 nucleotides) under Cricetulus griseus (Chinese hamster). The record is from RNAcentral. Lineage: Eukaryota; Metazoa; Chordata; Mammalia; Rodentia; Cricetidae.
ACCAUAGUUGGCUUAAAAGCAGC